This 286-nucleotide long non-coding RNA is filed under the name Eucalyptus grandis. RNAcentral's name for it is "long non-coding RNA (EGRA_LNC002607)". Lineage: Eukaryota; Viridiplantae; Streptophyta; Magnoliopsida; Myrtales; Myrtaceae. The record is from RNAcentral.
CGGGAGUCGAAGUUGCGGCGCUCGUCGGGGAGCUUGGAGGCGGCGAAGUCGUUGCCCCAGAUGGAGUCGUUGAGGGAGAGGUUGGCGAGGCGGAGCUGGUCGCUGAACUGCCAGAAGGACUGCUGGUUGUUCUCCAUCUUCAAGGAACCACCCGUCGCGAGGCUAAGCUCGACGGCGCUUCUCGAGUGAGGCUGUAUGUGAAAAUGCAGAGCGAAAAACAGAGCAGAAACAGAGCAAAAAACAGAGAGAGUGGUGGAAGUGAGAAGGUGGUGGUUGAAUAAAGCAG